RNAcentral lists this long non-coding RNA (1650 nucleotides) under Ananas comosus (pineapple). RNAcentral describes it as "long non-coding RNA (ACOM_LNC043314)". Lineage: Eukaryota; Viridiplantae; Streptophyta; Magnoliopsida; Poales; Bromeliaceae. The record is from RNAcentral.
AGUGUAUAUAUAUAUAUAUAUAUAUAUAGAGAGAGAGAGAGAGAGAGAGAGAUAGGCUGGAAUAAUAUUAAUAGUAAAACGCUCUUUUUACUGUCAUCUUUUUAACCCUUGUAUGAAAAGUUGUAGGGUUAGGAUGAAAUUAGUCAGUUAGAGUUAAGUGGUCCCCCUAGGGUUGAGUGCUCCCCACAGGGUUAUAGUAUUUAAUCCAAUGGUUAGAAAUGAUGAAAAGAGUUGAUCCAAAGGCUAAAAAACUGGUAGCAACAAUGGCAUUUUGCUACUAAUAGUAGCCCAGUCCAACUCUAUAUAUAUAUAUAUAUAUAUAUAUAUAUAUAUAUAUAUAUAUAUAUAUACUAGUGCAGGUCCUGCGCUUCACACCGGGUAAAUAAUAUUUUAAUAAAUUAAUAUAUAUAAUUUUUAAAAUUUUAAAAUUGAAAAAUUUAUAAUGAAAAAUAUAAAACAAACUUAUAUAUCCUUUAUAUAUUAUCAAAAGACAUUCGAAAUCAAAAUAGAUAUUUUUUAUACUGUAGAAAAAUUCAACUACAAAAUAAAUAAUCUAAUAUAAUAUUAUUAUAUUAUUAUAUAAAUUAAUUCUUAAAAAAAUUGUGUAGGUCCUACAACCCUCCAAAAUAAGGAGAGGCAUUUUUUAGGGUUACCAAUUCAUAUAUGUUUUGGAAACUAAAGUGAAAAGUAUACAAAAUUUAGGAUCAAAAUUGACAUGAAAAAAAAUGUUAAAUAGGCGAUGGCAUGAUAAUUUCAAUAAUUCUAAAAUAUUUUUUUAAUGGUUGUUAUUUUAUCACAAGAAUUUUUAAGAGGUUUGAAAGCUUAAUUGCAAAAAAAAAGAAAAAAAAUUAGGAAUAAAAUUAAAAAAUGGUGCAAAGUUUGGGCAGCACUAUACAAUUAAUCCUAAAAAAUUUCUAAAAAAAAUUUGUGGGCCACACACCACCAAAAUAAGGGGAGGCCUUCCUUGGGUUCCCAAUUAGAUGAAAUUUUAAUUUUGUUAUCUUGACAAUUAAAAAAUAGGAUUGAUCUAUACGAUAAAAUUUUACACUUGAUAUUGAUAAAAGAAAAAGAAAAGAUGUUGAUAUUUAGUAGAUUAAAAUUUUAUUUUAUUUUAUUGACUAUCAAAAAAUAGAAUUGAUCCAUGCGAUAAAAUUUUACAAUUGAUGUAGGCAAAAAAUAAAAAAAUGUCGAGAGAGAAAAAAAUAAAAAAGAAAGUAGGAGAGAGAGAGAGAAAAAAAAAGAAAGUAAGAGAGAGAGUGAGAGAGAGAAAAAAUAAAAAAAGAAAGUGAGAGAGAGAGAGUGAGAAAGAAAAAAAAAAUAAAAAAAGAAAGUAAGAGUGAAAGAGAGAGAGAGAGACUGAGAGAGAGAGAAAAAAAAUGAGGGCCCCACCAAAUACAUGAAUUCUUAUACAUAGAUGUACUUUCUUAAUUUUCUGCCUGUCGUAUCGCACGGUUACUAUACUAGUUUUACAUGAAUUCUUAUACUUAAAUUCUAUAUAGAUAUACUUCCUUAAUUUGAGAGAGAUGGAGCCUUAAACCAUUUCUUCUUUUCUUUAAAAAAUUAUAUUUUCUUUAUUUUUUUAAAAUGACUUUUUGCUUUCCGUUGCAUUUAUUCGCAUAUACUUUCUUUUUUUUCUUUUUAGUAGUUCUU